RNAcentral lists this long non-coding RNA (2014 nucleotides) under Nicotiana benthamiana. RNAcentral describes it as "long non-coding RNA (NBEN_LNC040002)". The record is from RNAcentral. Lineage: Eukaryota; Viridiplantae; Streptophyta; Magnoliopsida; Solanales; Solanaceae.
ACAUUCCUUGUAAAGAACGAUAUGUACACAGAUAUAGUGAUAGUCAGUUCUCUUUCUCUCUCUCUCUCUCUUUCUCUCUCUUCAUAUCUUCAAUUUAGCUCGAUCAAUUUGUAAGAUUUGGUAUGUUAACAAGGUCACGUCUAUUUCUCCUCCGCAAACUCACAAUAACAGCUAGAUAUAAAGUUUUAGCACAAACUUACUACAAGUUCAGAAUUUAAGCCCAAGCACCACUAACAAAAACUUCCACGCUCACUGUACCAGAAAUUUUCAACAACAGAUCAGCUGUUUAAAAUUUAGCUCAUUGGUUUAGUUUUCAACUCAACAAUCAUGUGUCCAAAUAAACUCUCAAUAAUCAGGUGCCCAAAUACAAUCUGGAAAUUUCCCAGAUUUUAUAUAUCUCGAAUAUUUUGUAGUCUCAUCCGAUUGAUCGCAAUCGACCGUGGUCGGAACAUGUCCUCCAAUUUUUGUCUUUAUAUUCUCUUAAUCCAUAGCCUUUCUCCUCCACAAAAUAACCUUCUCAUUAGUCCCAAAAGCAAUAAAAAGCUUUGAUGGAGUUCAGUCAGAGAACAUCCAUCCGAUGACGCGUCUCCAUCUUCUUGCUCAUGUUUAUGUCGAUGUCUCAGCCUUAUAUGAUGUUUUUAGUGAAGAAGUAGAAGAAAAUAGAAGCAGCAACAGCAAAUUAGUGACAUAAUUAUUUGGGUAUCGUACCAACUUAUUAUUUUUGUCAUACCAUGAUCUUAAAUAUCUUUUUUUCUUUUAAACUGACUGAUUUUAGACCUUCUACGCUUUCCUACAAUUAAUGAUUCAAUAGGUUAUGAAUUAACACAAGAACAAGAGGAAAAAUUGAAUAAAGCUAAAAUGAGAGAUGAAAAGAGGGUGAUUGCUUGUUGAUGGGGAAACUUUGGAAUUUUGAAACUAAAAUUGAUGUUUUGAAACAGUUGAUGAUGGCGGUGAUUGAAGCGGCGUAGCAUCUAUGAGGAUCGACGGUGAGAUCUGUCUUUGUAGCCAUGGAGUGGUUAACUCUCUUUCCGCAUCUAUCUUUGUAGAUCUAAGCCUCUUAGUUUCUCUAAUUAAUUACUUUUGGGCUAGCCACUAGAAUUACUUGUAGGCUAUUAAAUGUAUGUUGUAAUUUCUAGGCUACCAGGUGAUAUAAGUUUGGGCCUAAUGACUACAAAUGAAGUUUGCUCAAGUAUUAACAAGGAAUUUUUAUCUCCUAUAGCAAAUGUUAACUCCUUAUUUAUAUUAAAUAAAUACUAUUUAAAAAAAUUAUAUUCAAUAGAUACCUUUUAAUGUUUAUAGUAAAAUAUCUAAUUUUGGUUAACCCCUACUCCUAAGCCACUAAAAAUGCUAUUCAGUUCCAUUAUUUUUUCUCCACUCUACUUUGAUACAUGCCAUUCUACUCCCCAUUCUGAAAACACGAUGCGCAAUCUCAAAAUUUCACUCAUCCACAUCACCUACGUUGUCUCCGCUCCUAAUCCUCCAAUUCCGUCAGACAUUGCUUUCUCUUAAAUUUUUUUAAUGUAUACCCGAUUUGAGCAAACUUCAUACACUACCUCCACUUCAUUCUUCUUCUCUUUUCUUAUUUUCUUUCUUUUCCCUUCUUCUUUGUUGCUAUUUGAUAGCCAUAGGUAUAUUAAUAUUGGAGAAAGAAGAAAUCAAGUGUUUGGAUUCUGAUAAUGUGAAUUGUGGGAAUUAUUUUGAGGAAUAUGCCAUUUUUUCUGAUCGGCGCACACAACAUAGGGGUUUUUGCUUGACGGCGGAUUCGCCAGAAAUUGGGUUUGUUUUUGAACAAAGACGACGGGAUCUGGGGUUGAACAACUUGAUUUUCUGUUAAUAUAUUUCUAUGUAUUUUCAACGUAUCACGCUAUAUUUUCAUGUAUUUCAUUGUAUUUAUUGUCUUUUUCUUAUUGUAAUUCAAUGUAUUUCGUUUUAUUUCAUGUAUUUCAUUGUAUUCACUGUCUUUUUUCAUUGUAUUUCAAUGUACCCUGCGGUAUUCUAUGUAUUUCAUUAAAUU